This 488-nucleotide ribosomal RNA is filed under the name Osmia jacoti. Its description in RNAcentral is "partial 16S ribosomal RNA". The record is from RNAcentral. Lineage: Eukaryota; Metazoa; Arthropoda; Insecta; Hymenoptera; Megachilidae.
UGUAAAAUUUUAUAGGUCGAACAGACCUAAUUUAUAAACACCUACAUUUAUAAUUAAUUUUAAUUCAACAUCGAGGUCGCAAACAUUUUUUUCAAUUUGAUCUUUCCAAAAAUAUUACGCUGUUAUCCCUAAGGUAAUUUAUUCUUAAUUUAUAAAUUAUAUUUCAUCUUUUCUAUUAAUUAAUAUUUUAAAAUUUUAAAGUUUAUUAAAUUUAAAAAUCCUCCCAAUUAAAUAUAAUUAUUAAUUUUAUUAAUUACAAUUAUAUAAAAUUCUAUAGGGUCUUAUCGUCCCUCAAAAAUACUUAAGCAUUUUAACUUAAAAUUUAAAUUCAUUUUAUAAAAUUGAGACAGUUUAUAUUUCAUUAAUUCAUUCAUUCCAGCCUUUAAUUAAAAGACAAAUGAUUAUGCUACCUUUGUACAGUCAAAAUACUGCAGCUAUUUAAUUACUCAUUGAGCAGAACUGACUUUAAAUUAAAAUUUCAAAAAGAC